This 253-nucleotide ribosomal RNA is filed under the name uncultured bacterium. RNAcentral describes it as "partial 16S ribosomal RNA". It matches the Rfam family "Bacterial small subunit ribosomal RNA", at positions 524 to 776 of the family's 1533-position model. The record is from RNAcentral.
UACGAAGGGGGCUAGCGUUGCUCGGAAUCACUGGGCGUAAAGGGCGCGUAGGCGGGUUUUUAAGUCAGGGGUGAAAUCCUGGAGCUCAACUCCAGAACUGCCUUUGAUACUGAAGAUCUUGAGUCCGGGAGAGGUGAGUGGAACUGCGAGUGUAGAGGUGAAAUUCGUAGAUAUUCGCAAGAACACCAGUGGCGAAGGCGGCUCACUGGCCCGGUACUGACGCUGAGGCACGAAAGCGUGGGGAGCAAACAGG